AGAGCAAGUGAUGAUAAAAAUAGACAGGGACAUCUGCACUCCCUUUCUUGGGUGAUUGAUGACUUAGUCUAAAAUGGGAAUCUCUCUGAUGCAAU
Molecule: small nucleolar RNA, 95 nt
Filed under: Corchorus capsularis
Lineage: Eukaryota; Viridiplantae; Streptophyta; Magnoliopsida; Malvales; Malvaceae
Description: snoRNA snoR44_J54
Rfam family: Small nucleolar RNA R44/J54/Z268 family
About the family: R44, J54 and Z268 are members of the C/D class of snoRNA which contain the C (UGAUGA) and D (CUGA) box motifs. Most of the members of the box C/D family function in directing site-specific 2'-O-methylation of substrate RNAs.
Source: Rfam by way of RNAcentral